CUAUCUGUGUGUUUUUGAGUUAACACUGGGUGAAAAGGCUCUGAAUCAGGGAAUAUUCAUAGUGAUAUAUUUCCUGAUAUGUGUAAUAUCAGGAAAUAUAUUGGUUGAUAUGCUCCUGAUAUUUUAGUGCCAAUUGCCAUAUCAGGAGCAUAUCAAAAGUCCUGAAUGGGACUGCGACGACAUGCAAGAUAUCCAGACUUCAUAUUCUCACCUGAUAUGAUCCAUGUUUCAAGUAUUAGCU
Alosa sapidissima (American shad) is the source of this 241-nucleotide long non-coding RNA. RefSeq lists it as uncharacterized. Lineage: Eukaryota; Metazoa; Chordata; Actinopteri; Clupeiformes; Clupeidae. The record is from RefSeq and is a predicted model, not a curated record. The transcript is spliced from 3 exons.